RNAcentral lists this ribosomal RNA (433 nucleotides) under uncultured bacterium. RNAcentral's name for it is "partial 16S ribosomal RNA". It matches the Rfam family "Bacterial small subunit ribosomal RNA", at positions 29 to 507 of the family's 1533-position model. The record is from RNAcentral.
AACGAACGCUGGCGGCAGGCUUAACACAUGCAAGUCGAACGGAUCCUUCGGGAUUAGUGGCAGACGGGUGAGUAACGCGUGGGAACGUACCCUUUGCUACGGAAUAACUCAGGGAAACUUGAGCUAAUACCGUAUGUGCCCUACGGGGGAAAGAUUUAUCGGCAAAGGAUCGGCCCGCGUUGGAUUAGCUAGUUGGUGGGGUAAUGGCCUACCAAGGCGACGAUCCAUAGCUGGUCUGAGAGGAUGAUCAGCCACACUGGGACUGAGACACGGCCCAGACUCCUACGGGAGGCAGCAGUGGGGAAUAUUGGACAAUGGGCGCAAGCCUGAUCCAGCCAUGCCGCGUGAGUGAUGAAGGUCUUAGGAUUGUAAAGCUCUUUAACCGGUGAAGAUAAUGACGGUAGCCGGAGAAGAAGCCCCGGCUAACUUCGUG